UGCGUAGGUGGCGCUGUAAGUGGGGUGUGAAAUCCCGGGGCUUAACUCCGGAACUGCAUUCCAUACUGCGGUGCUUGAGGACUGGAGAGGAGACUGGAAUUUACGGUGUAGCAGUGAAAUGCGUAGAGAUCGUAAGGAAGACCAGUGGCGAAGGCGGGUCUCUGGACAGUUCCUGACACUGAGGCACGAAGGCCAGGGAGCAAACG
Molecule: ribosomal RNA, 206 nt
Filed under: uncultured bacterium
Lineage: Bacteria
Description: partial 16S ribosomal RNA
Rfam family: Bacterial small subunit ribosomal RNA
Source: RNAcentral